RNAcentral lists this ribosomal RNA (212 nucleotides) under uncultured fungus. RNAcentral's name for it is "partial small subunit ribosomal RNA". It matches the Rfam family "Eukaryotic small subunit ribosomal RNA", at positions 581 to 798 of the family's 1831-position model. Lineage: Eukaryota; Fungi. The record is from RNAcentral.
AAUUCCAGCUCCAAUAGCGUAUAUUAAAGUUGUUGCAGUUAAAAAGCUCGUAGUUGAAUUUCGGGGUCAGUAGGUUGGUCGUGCCACAGGUAUGAACUGGUCUCACUGAUUCCUCCUUCCUGAUGAACCGUAAUGCCAUUAAUUUGGUGUUGCGGGGAGACUGGACUGUUACUUUGAAAAAAUUAGAGUGUUUAAAGCAGGCUAACGCUUGA